RNAcentral lists this small nucleolar RNA (121 nucleotides) under Echinops telfairi (small Madagascar hedgehog). RNAcentral's name for it is "Small nucleolar RNA SNORA61 (ENSETEG00000026203.1)". Lineage: Eukaryota; Metazoa; Chordata; Mammalia; Afrosoricida; Tenrecidae. The record is from RNAcentral.
GCCCUCCAGAUUCCUUACUCCUCAGAUCUAAAUAUUGGUCUGAGUGGCUAAAAAAGGGAGAAAGGGAGGAGUGACGUGGACUGGGAGUCUUCAGUGACUUACAGGCUCAUUUCAGACAGAA